UGAGGAAUAUUGGUCAAUGGGGGCAACCCUGAACCAGCCAAGUCGCGUGAAGGAUGAAGGUCUUAUGGAUUGUAAACUUCUUUUACACGGGAAUAAAGUGGGGGACGUGUCCCCCUUUGCAUGUACCGUGUGAAUAAGGAUCGGCUAACUCCGUGCCAGCAGCCGCGGUAAUACGGAGGAUCCGAGCGUUAUCCGGAUUUAUUGGGUUUAAAGGGUGCGCAGGCGGGAUGUUAAGUCGGCGGUGAAAUUUUGCAGCUCAACUGUAAAAGUGCCUUCGAUACUGGCCUCCUUGAGUGUGGAUGAAGUAGGCGGAAUUUGUGGUGUAGCGGUGAAAUGCUUAGAUAUCACGAGGAACUCCAAUUGCGCAGGCAGCUUACUAAGCCACAACUGACGCUCAUGCACGAAGGCGUGGGGAUCAAACA
This 422-nucleotide ribosomal RNA is filed under the name uncultured bacterium. RNAcentral's name for it is "bacterial SSU rRNA". It matches the Rfam family "Bacterial small subunit ribosomal RNA", at positions 355 to 774 of the family's 1533-position model. The record is from RNAcentral.